RNAcentral lists this transfer RNA (71 nucleotides) under Ictidomys tridecemlineatus (thirteen-lined ground squirrel). Its description in RNAcentral is "Spermophilus tridecemlineatus (thirteen-lined ground squirrel) tRNA". It matches the Rfam family "tRNA". Rfam says of the family: Transfer RNA (tRNA) molecules are approximately 80 nucleotides in length. Their secondary structure includes four short double-helical elements and three loops (D, anti-codon, and T loops). Lineage: Eukaryota; Metazoa; Chordata; Mammalia; Rodentia; Sciuridae. The record is from Rfam by way of RNAcentral. RNAcentral also lists the same sequence under 1 other name.
AGGGGUGUAGCUUAGUGAUAGAAUGUAUGCUUAGCAUGCAAGAGCCCUGGGUUCAAUUCCCAGCAACUCUC